UUCCACUAGCCAAGUGGGAGAUUUGAGGGCUCCGAGAAGGCUGAUAAUGAAGCACACAGCUGAUGGAAAACGGCUGUAGAUGGUUUGAAGACUAAUUGGAAUAGCUGGUCUGAUCAUGAAACACACAGCUGAUGGGAAAACGGCUGUAGAUGGUUUGAAGACUAAUUGGAAUGGCUGGAGUCUGGAGUGUCCUGCCAUCGUGGAGAACUUCUGAGUGACUGUCGGUAAGCUUCUUGGGUAAAAUGGCACUUCUAUAAACAAUUUUGUGAUUCAUGAAAUAUGCCAAGCUGUUUUUGUUUACUUCUGAUUAAAAAUGGUUUGUUCAUUCCAAAAUCCAUGGGUGUUUGUUUUUUUCUUUAGCUCAGAAAUUCAUGAUUCAAACAAGUAUUGCACUAAAACGACUUCAAAUUGCUUGGAUAAUGUGAUGCUCUACCCAGCUUGACAUAGAUUACUGUAGUGUUCAAAAUGGAGGGAGGUAGGAAUGGGUAUUUUUAAUAUAUUUUUAUAUAAAUACACUUAAUACCAAAUGGUUACCUUGAAAUGCUGCAAUAUGCUCUUUCAGUGUUAAAUGAUAUCAUGAAUCACCUCACUAAAGCGGCCUAAUUGUUUCUGAGUUGACAAGUAGUUUCCACUUAUGAACAAACAUACUUAAGAAAUACUAUAUUGAAAAUAAAGGCCUCAUAGUAGUAACUCGAUGCAAUAAAAGUGAAAUCCUGUGAGCACUGA
Molecule: long non-coding RNA, 726 nt
Organism: Clupea harengus (Atlantic herring)
Lineage: Eukaryota; Metazoa; Chordata; Actinopteri; Clupeiformes; Clupeidae
Source: Ensembl